ACAGGUGCUGCAUGGCUGUCGUCGGCUCGUGUCGUGAGAUGUUGGGAUAAGUCCCGCAACGAGCGCAACCCUUGUCAUUAGUUGCUACGAAAGGGCACUCUAAUGAGACUGCCGGUGACAAACCGGAGGAAGGUGGGGAUGACGUCAAGUCCUCAUGGCCCUUAUGGGUAGGGCUUCACACGUCAUACAAUGGUACAUACAGAGCGCCGCCACCCGCGAGGGGGAGCUAAUCCCAUAAAACCAGUCGUAGUCCGGAUCGCAGUCUGCAACUCGACUGCGUGAAGUCGGAAUCGCUAGUAAUCGCGGAUCAGCAUGCCGCGGUGAAUACGUUCCCGGGUCUUGUACACGCC
This 350-nucleotide ribosomal RNA is filed under the name uncultured bacterium. RNAcentral describes it as "bacterial SSU rRNA". It matches the Rfam family "Bacterial small subunit ribosomal RNA", at positions 1034 to 1391 of the family's 1533-position model. The record is from RNAcentral.